AUGUUGGAACAAGCAAGACAUACCCUACAGAAAUGUGAUGGACUUCCCCUUGCAAUAUCAACUAUCGGCGGAUUCCUAGCCACUAUGCCAAAAACUGAUAUUGAAUGGAAGAAGAUGAAUGAUAAUAUUAGCACUGAAUUGGUGACAAAUCCUGAACUUAGGGGAAUAAAGACAAUUCUUAUGAGGAGCUAUGAUGGUUUACCAUACCAUCUCAAGGCUGCUUUCUUAUACCUGUCCAUAUUUCCAGAUGACCACAAAAUUAGGUGGGGUCGCUUGGUGAGGCGUUGGAUUGCAGAGGGUUACUCAAGGGAUAUGCAUGGCAUGACUGCAAUUGAACUUUGUCAGAGGUACUUUGAUGAGCUCAUGGAUAGGAGUAUGAUCCUGCCAGGGGACGGGAUAGAUCAAUACAAUAGGAAAAAUAAUUCUUGUCAACUUCAUGAUAUGAUCCGUGAAAUAUGCAUCUCAAAGGCUAGGGAGGAAAAUCUUGUUUUCACACUGGAGGAAGGAUGUUGUUUGAGCGACACACAAGGUGCAAUACAUAAUCUUGUGAUAGGCAGCAACUGCAAAAGGGAUAAAGAUGUGUUGGAGAGCAUGCUGGACUUGUCACAUGUACGGUCAUUGACCGUGUUCGGACAGUGGAGAUCUUUUUUCAUUUCUGAUAGUAUGAGGUUCCUCCGAGUGCUUGACUUAGAAGACACAUUGGAGUUAAGAAAUUGUCAUCUUGAUAAAAUCGGGCAGCUCCGUCACCUCAAGUACCUUUCUGUACGAGGAUGUCGCAGGAUUUCAUGCCUGCCUAAUUCUUUGGGGAAUUUGAGUCACCUUGAAACACUGGACGUCAGAGGUACACGUUUAAAUGAGUUGCCAAAAACAUUCACCAAUCUUCAGCAGCUACAGCACCUUCGUGGAGAUGCCACUGUAAAAAAAAUCGGAGAC
This 933-nucleotide ribosomal RNA is filed under the name Triticum aestivum (bread wheat). RNAcentral's name for it is "partial small subunit ribosomal RNA". Lineage: Eukaryota; Viridiplantae; Streptophyta; Magnoliopsida; Poales; Poaceae. The record is from RNAcentral.